AGAGUUUGAUCAUGGCUCAGGAUGAACGCUAGCGGCAGGCCUAAUACAUGCAAGUCGAACGCUCAGUAGCAAUACUGGGAGUGGCGCACGUGUGCGUAACGCGUACACAAUCUACCUCUAAGCGGGGGACACCUCCUGGAAACGGGGAUUAAUACCGCAUAAUAUGCCGAGGUCGCAUGACUUUGGUAUUAAAGCAGCAAUGCACUUAGAGAUGAGUGUGCGUCCCAUUAGGUAGUUGGUGAGGUAACGGCUCACCAAGCCUAUGAUGGGUAGCCGGUCUGAGAGGAUGGUCGGCCACACGGGCACUGAGACACGGGCCCGACUCCUACGGGAGGCAGCAGUAAGGAAUAUUGGUCAAUGGUGGAAACACUGAACCAGCCAUGCCGCGUGGAGGAAUAAGGUCCUACGGAUUGUAAACUCCUUUUGACGAGGAAGAAAGUGUUAGAUUUAUCUAAUUUUGACGGUACUCGUAGAAUAAGCACCGGCUAACUCCGUG
This 496-nucleotide ribosomal RNA is filed under the name uncultured bacterium. RNAcentral describes it as "bacterial SSU rRNA". It matches the Rfam family "Bacterial small subunit ribosomal RNA", at positions 8 to 507 of the family's 1533-position model. The record is from RNAcentral.